GAUGAACGCUGGCGGCGUGCCUAAUACAUGCAAGUCGAGCGAACAGACGAGGAGUUUGCUCCUCUGACGUUAGCGGCGGGCGGGUGAGUAACACGUGGAUAACCUACCUAUAAGUCUGGGAUCACUUCGGGAAACCGGAGCUAAUACCGGAUAAUCUAUUGAACCGCAUGGUUCAUUAGUGAAAGACGGUUUUGCUGUAUCUUAUAGAUGGUUCCGAGCCGCAUUAGCUAGUUGGUAAGGUACCGGCUUACCAAGGCAACGAUGCGUAGCCGACCUGAGAGGGUGAUCGGCCACACUGGAACUGAGACACGGUCCAGACUCCUACGGGAGGCAGCAGUAGGGAAUCUUCCGCAAUGGGCGAAAGCCUGACGGAGCAACGCCGCGUGAGUGAUGAAGGCCUUCGGAUCGUAAAGCUCUGUUAUUAGGGAAGAACAGAUGUGUAAGUAACUAUGCACGUCUUGACGGUACCUAAUCAGAAAGCCACGGCUAACUACGUG
This 497-nucleotide ribosomal RNA is filed under the name uncultured bacterium. Its description in RNAcentral is "partial 16S ribosomal RNA". It matches the Rfam family "Bacterial small subunit ribosomal RNA", at positions 28 to 507 of the family's 1533-position model. The record is from RNAcentral.